Molecule: ribosomal RNA, 468 nt
Filed under: uncultured bacterium
Lineage: Bacteria
Description: partial 16S ribosomal RNA
Rfam family: Bacterial small subunit ribosomal RNA
Source: RNAcentral
GACGAACGCUGGCGGUGUGCUUAACACAUGCAAGUCGAACGGUAAGGCCCUUUCGGGGGUACACGAGUGGCGAACGGGUGAGUAACACGUGAGUAACCUGCCCUCAUCUCUGGGAUAACAGUCGGAAACGGUUGCUAAUACUGGACAUGAGCUUGCAAGGCAUCUUGUGGGUUGGAAAGAUUUUUUUUGGUUGGGGAUGGACUCGCGGCCUAUCAGCUUGUUGGUGAGGUAGUGGCUCACCAAGGCUUCGACGGGUAGCCGGCCUGCGGGGGCGACCGGCCACAAUAGAGCUGAGGUAGGAGCCGAACUCCUACGGGAGGCAGCAGUGGGGAAUGUUGCACAAUGGAAAGAAGUCUGAUGCAGAAACGCCGCGUGCGGGAUGACGGCCUUCGGGUUGUAAACCGCUUUCAAUUGUGACGAAGCUUUUUUGUGACGGUAGCAGUAGAAGAAGCACCGGCUAACUACGUG